Molecule: small nucleolar RNA, 135 nt
Organism: Tachyglossus aculeatus (Australian echidna)
Lineage: Eukaryota; Metazoa; Chordata; Mammalia; Monotremata; Tachyglossidae
Source: RefSeq, a predicted model, not a curated record
AUCCUCUCAGGAUCGCACCUGGAGAGUUUCCAAUACUCUAGCAGUUUCCGUUACAGGAGGGAGAGUCAGGAAGAAACUCUCUUCCAUUCCUAGCUUGGGCAGUAGCUAGUGAAUGGAAGGCAAUCUGCUACAAGU